CCUACGGGUGGCAGCAGUGGGGAAUAUUGGGCAAUGGGCGCAAGCCUGACCCAGCAACGCCGCGUGAAGGAAGAAGGCUUUCGGGUUGUAAACUUCUUUUAUCAGGGACGAAGCAAGUGACGGUACCUGAUGAAUAAGCCACGGCUAACUACGUGACAGCAGCCGCGGUAAUACGUAGGUGGCAAGCGUUAUCAGGAUGUACUGGGUGUAAAGGGCGUGUAGGCGGGAGUGCAAGUCAGAUGUGAAAACUAUGGGCACAACCCAUAGCCUGCAUUUGAUACUGUACUUCUUGAGUGCUGGGGAGGCAGGCGGAAUUCCGGGUGUAGCGGUGAAAUGCGUAGAUAUACGGAAGAACGCCAGUGGCGAAGGCAGAUUGCUAGACAGUCACUGACGCUGAGGCGCGAAAGUGUGGGGAGCAAACAGGAUUAGAUACCCCAGUAGUC
Molecule: ribosomal RNA, 443 nt
Filed under: uncultured bacterium
Lineage: Bacteria
Description: partial 16S ribosomal RNA
Rfam family: Bacterial small subunit ribosomal RNA
Source: RNAcentral